This 322-nucleotide ribosomal RNA is filed under the name Aporrectodea caliginosa. RNAcentral describes it as "partial 16S ribosomal RNA". It matches the Rfam family "Bacterial large subunit ribosomal RNA", at positions 1959 to 2517 of the family's 2925-position model. The record is from RNAcentral. Lineage: Eukaryota; Metazoa; Annelida; Clitellata; Crassiclitellata; Lumbricidae.
GCAUAAUCACUUGCCCAUUAAUUGUGGGCUAGAAUGAAAGGACCAACGAAAUAAAGACUGUCUCCAUAAGUCAUCUAAAAAUUAAUCUCUAACUGAAGACUGUUAGAUUCCGUCGAAGGACAAGAAGACCCUAUAGAGCUUUAUUUUAAUAAAAAAUAUAAAUUUUUAAUAAAUUCGGUUGGGGCGACCAGGGAAGUUACUAAUCAUCCCUAAAUAAAAGAUUAAUUAAUCUAAAUUCUGACCCUUAUUCAAGAUCAAUAGAUCAAGCUACCUUAGGGAUAACAGGCUAAUCUCACUAAAGAGUCCUUAUCAAUAGUGGGGG